RNAcentral lists this small RNA (1406 nucleotides) under Pongo abelii (Sumatran orangutan). RNAcentral's name for it is "processed transcript". The record is from RNAcentral. Lineage: Eukaryota; Metazoa; Chordata; Mammalia; Primates; Hominidae.
AGACUUGAGAGAAAGGGAAGACCGAGAAUGACUCUACAAGGGUCAAUGUACAGGACAUUAAACCAGUGUGUGCAAGAUGGAGAAGCCAACACAGAUGACCUUACGACUCUGGAUAGGAAAGCCCUCUUACAGCAAGGUUAUGCAGACAACCCUUGCGAUAAACAACAGAGAGCAAGAAAAUUGGAUGCAGUAAGUUGUCAGCAUUUUUACUUAUUUGGAAAUUGUGGCUGCAGAGAAGAAGAAACAGAUUGUUGCAGAGCAAGUGAUGACAGACCACUUAUCUAGGGCUGUAAUCAGUGAUCCAGAACAAAAUUUGGCCAUUGAGCAAAAAGAAAGUGAUCAUAUCCUUCCAGAUUCAAAGAUGACACCUCUUCGAUUUAGAAAAAGAACACUACAUGAAACAAAGAUAAGAACUCAUUCUACAUUAACUGAAAAUGUGCUUUCUCAUAAAUUACAAUUUGAUGGUAGGAUCAUAUCACGAACAAAUGUGCUUCCUUUUAUUCAAAAAAGCAUUUAUAGUCAUCAGUGUGGACGAAGAAAAGGAAAACAAUACCGACUUGGUGAUUUUUAUGUUGGUGCAACCUUGACAUUUUUGAAUUCUGAUCAUCUCAGCCUUCCAGAAAGCAUCAAAGAAAACACAUUGCUUAAACUCCGAAUCACAAAUAUUGAUCAAAUAGCUUUGGAUUCUCUCAAAACAGCUUCUAUGGAACAGGAGGAUGAUAUAAUCAUUCAAGAAACCAAUGAUAGGCUGGUCUUCAAGGCAAUCCAAGAUGUGCUAAAAGAAAAACUACAUAAAAGAGGUGUUCGUAUUUUGACUGGAUUGGGAAAAUACUUUCAACAGUUGGACAAGGAAGGAAAUGGACUUUUAGAUAAGGCAGAUUUUAAGCAAGCUCUAAAAGUGUUUCACUUACAAGUGUCUGAAAAGGAUUUUGAGUCUGCAUGGCUAAUUCUGAAUGACAAUGGCAAUGGCAAGGUUGAUUAUGGAGAAUUCAAACGUGGUAUUAUUGGUGAAAUGAAUGAAUACAGGAAAUCAUAUGUUCGAAAGGCCUUUAUGAAACUGGAUGUCAAUAAAAGUGGCAGUGUGCCUAUUAUAAACAUAAGAAAAUGUUACUGUGCAAAGAAGCAUUCUCAAGUAAUUUCAGGUUGACCAGCAAGGACAAACAUGAAAGUGCUUAAAAAAAAGAAAGUGCUUAAAAAAAAAGAAAUAGAAGGUAAUGCAUGUAUAAAAUAAGCCAAGCAAGAGAAGAGCAAAGAGAAUCUGCAGGGUGGACAUGGAUGUAUUCGUUUCUGAUCAUGAGAAGAAGCUCUUGUCAUAUCCUUCCAUUUUUAUUUUAAAGUUCUAUAAACUUCUGAGGUAAACUGAUUUCUUGGAUGUACUUAAUAAAGAAUAAAUGCUUCAUAUUGGA